Non-coding RNA from Tinamus guttatus (white-throated tinamou), 269 nucleotides. The record is from RefSeq and is a predicted model, not a curated record. Lineage: Eukaryota; Metazoa; Chordata; Aves; Tinamiformes; Tinamidae.
UCCACAAACUGGUCAUCGACGACGUGCGCCCCGAGGACGAGGGCGACUACACCUUCAUCCCCGACGGCUACGCGCUGUCCCUCUCGGCCAAGCUCAACUUCCUGGAGAUCAAGGUUGAAUAUGUCCCCAAGCAAGAGCCCCCCAAGAUCCACCUGGACUGCUCGGGGAAGACGGCCGAGAACACCAUCGUGGUGGUGGCGGGGAACAAGCUGCGCCUGGACGUGCCCAUCACGGGGGAGCCGGCGCCCACCGUCACCUGGAAGAAGGGG